RNAcentral lists this ribosomal RNA (407 nucleotides) under Pseudomonas sp. R-28219. RNAcentral describes it as "bacterial SSU rRNA". It matches the Rfam family "Bacterial small subunit ribosomal RNA", at positions 8 to 417 of the family's 1533-position model. Lineage: Bacteria; Pseudomonadati; Pseudomonadota; Gammaproteobacteria; Pseudomonadales; Pseudomonadaceae. The record is from RNAcentral.
AGAGUUUGAUCCUGGCUCAGAUUGAACGCUGGCGGCAGGCCUAACACAUGCAAGUCGAGCGGAUGAGAAGAGCUUGCUCUUCGAUUCAGCGGCGGACGGGUGAGUAAUGCCUAGGAAUCUGCCUAUUAGUGGGGGACAACGUUUCGAAAGGAACGCUAAUACCGCAUACGUCCUACGGGAGAAAGCAGGGGACCUUCGGGCCUUGCGCUAAUAGAUGAGCCUAGGUCGGAUUAGCUAGUUGGUGAGGUAAUGGCUCACCAAGGCUACGAUCCGUAACUGGUCUGAGAGGAUGAUCAGUCACACUGGAACUGAGACACGGUCCAGACUCCUACGGGAGGCAGCAGUGGGGAAUAUUGGACAAUGGGCGAAAGCCUGAUCCAGCCAUGCCGCGUGUGUGAAGAAGGUCU